UGAGUACAAGAUGCUACGGCAUUGAAGCAGUCUAUGUCAUACUUCCAAGAAAAGCUUGCAAUGUCAUAAACAAAUAAUGCCUGUACCAUAACCGACACAGGUGGGUAGGUAGAGUAUACUAAGGGGCGCGAGAUAACUCUCUCUAAGGAACUCGGCAAAAUGACUCCGUAACUUCGGGAGAAGGAGUACCUUAUUUUAUAAGGUUGCAAUAGCAAGGUCCAAGCAACUGUUUACCAAAAACACAGGUCUCCGCUAAGUCGUAAGACGAUGUAUGGGGGCUGACGCCUGCCCAGUGCCAGAAGGUUAAAGAAGUUGGUUAGCAUUAGCGAAGCUGAUAACUGAAGCCCUGGUGAACGGCGGCCGUAACAAUAACGGUCCUAAGGUAGCGAAAUUCCUUGUCGGGUAAGUUCCGACCCGCACGAAAGGCGUAAUGAUUUGGAUACUGUCUCGGAGAGGGGCUCGGUGAAAUAGACUUGUCUGUGAAGAUGCGGACUACCUGCACCUGGACAGAAAGACCCUAUGAAGCUUUACUGUAACUUGAGAUUGAAAUUGGACUUUAUUUGCGCAGUAUAGGUGGGAGACCUCGAAAGUAUUCUUGCGGGAAUAUUGGAGUCAUCAGUGAGAUACCACUCUUAUAAUGUUAGAUUUCUAACUUUGUAUCAUUAUCUGGUCAAAGAACAGUUUCAGGCGGGCAGUUUGACUGGGGCGGUCGCCUCCCAAAUGGUAACGGAGGCGCACAAAGGUUUCCUCUGAACGUGUAGAAAUCGUAUCUAGAGUGUAAAGGCAUAAGGAAGCUUGACUGUGAGACCUACAAGUCGAGCAGGGACGAAAGUCGGUCUUAGUGAUCUGACGGUGCUGAGUGGAAAGGCCGUCACUCAACGGAUAAAAGUUACUCUAGGAUAACAGGCUGAUCUCCCCCAAGAGUUCACAUCGACGGGGAGGUUUGGCACCUCGAUGUCGGCUCAUCGCAUCCUGGGGCGGUAGUACGUCCCAAGGGUUGGGCUGUUCGCCCAUGAAAGCGGUACGCGAGCUGGGUUCAGAACGUCGUGAGACAGUUCGGUCCAUAUCCGGUGUAGGCGUUAGAAAAUUGAGAGGAGCCUUCUUUAGUACGAGAGGACCGAGAAGGACAUACCUCUGGUGUACCAGUUAUCGUGCCAACGGUAAACGCUGGGUAGCUAUGUAGGGAGAGGAUACCGCUGAAAGCAUCUAAGUGGGAAGCCCACCUCAAGAUAAGUAUUCU
This 1240-nucleotide ribosomal RNA is filed under the name metagenome. Its description in RNAcentral is "bacterial LSU rRNA". It matches the Rfam family "Bacterial large subunit ribosomal RNA", at positions 1564 to 2814 of the family's 2925-position model. The record is from RNAcentral.